AGAGUUUGAUCCUGGCUCAGAUUGAACGCUGGCGGCAGGCCUAACACAUGCAAGUCGAGCGCGAAAGGUCUUCGGACUGAGUAGAGCGGCGGACGGGUGAGUAACGCGUAGGAAUCUACCUGGUAGUGGGGGACAACUCGGGGAAACUCGAGCUAAUACCGCAUACGCCCUACGGGGGAAAGCGGGGGACCUUCGGGCCUCGCGCUAUCAGAUGAGCCUGCGUUGGAUUAGCUAGUUGGUGGGGUAAAGGCCCACCAAGGCGACGAUCCAUAGCUGGUCUGAGAGGAUGAUCAGCCACACCGGGACUGAGACACGGCCCGGACUCCUACGGGAGGCAGCAGUGGGGAAUAUUGCGCAAUGGGCGAAAGCCUGACGCAGCCAUGCCGCGUGUGUGAAGAAGGCCUUCGGGUUGUAAAGCACUUUCACUUGGGAAGAAAGGGUGACGGUUAAUACCCGUUAUCUGUGACAUUACCUUGAGAAGAAGCACCGGCUAACUCCGUGCCAGCAGCCGCGGUAAUACGGAGGGUGCAAGCGUUAAUCGGAAUUACUGGGCGUAAAGCGCGCGUAGGCGGUUUGUUAAGUUGGAUGUGAAAGCCCCGGGCUCAACCUGGGAAUUGCACCCGAUACUGGCCGACUAGAGUACGAGAGAGGGAGGUAGAAUUCCACGUGUAGCGGUGAAAAUGCGUAGAUAUGUGGAGGAAUACCGGUGGCGAAGGCGGCCUCCUGGCUCGAUACUGACGCUGAGGUGCGAAAGCGUGGGGACCA
This 765-nucleotide ribosomal RNA is filed under the name uncultured bacterium. Its description in RNAcentral is "bacterial SSU rRNA". It matches the Rfam family "Bacterial small subunit ribosomal RNA", at positions 8 to 770 of the family's 1533-position model. The record is from RNAcentral.